GUGCUCGCUUUGGCAGCACAUAUACUAAAAUUGGGACGAUACAGAGAAGAUUAGCAUGGCCACUGCGCAAGGAUGACACACAAAUUCGUGAAGCGUUCUAUAUUUUU
This 107-nucleotide small nuclear RNA is filed under the name Balaenoptera musculus (blue whale). Lineage: Eukaryota; Metazoa; Chordata; Mammalia; Artiodactyla; Balaenopteridae. The record is from RNAcentral.